RNAcentral lists this ribosomal RNA (468 nucleotides) under uncultured bacterium. Its description in RNAcentral is "partial 16S ribosomal RNA". It matches the Rfam family "Bacterial small subunit ribosomal RNA", at positions 28 to 507 of the family's 1533-position model. The record is from RNAcentral.
GACGAACGCUGGCGGCGUGCUUAACACAUGCAAGUCGAACGGUGAAGCUCCAGCUUGCUGGUGUGGAUCAGUGGCGAACGGGUGAGUAACACGUGAGCAACCUGCCCCAGACUCUGGAAUAAGCGCUGGAAACGGCGUCUAAUACUGGAUACGAGAUCAAGCCGCAUGGUUAUGGUCUGGAAAGUUUUUCGGUUUGGGAUGGGCUCGCGGCCUAUCAGCUUGUUGGUGAGGGAAUGGCUCACCAAGGCGACGACGGGUAGCCGGCCUGAGAGGGCGACCGGCCACACUGGGACUGAGACACGGCCCAGACUCCUACGGGAGGCAGCAGUGGGGAAUAUUGCACAAUGGGCGAAAGCCGGAUGCAGCGACGCCGCGUGAGGGAUGACGGCCUUCGGGUUGUAAACCGCUGUCAGCAGGGAAGAAGCGAAAGUGACGGUACCUGCAGAAGAAGCACCGGCUAACUACGUG